AUUAGGAAUCUUGCGCAAUGGGCGAAAGCCUGACGCAGCGACGCCGCGUGGAGGACGAAGUCCCUCGGGAUGUAAACUCCUUUUUUUCGGGACGAAGGAUGUGACGGUACCGAACGAAUAAGCCCCGGCUAACUACGUGCCAGCAGCCGCGGUAAUACGUAGGGGGCGAGCGUUGUCCGAAGUUACUGGGCGUAAAGCGCGCGUAGGCGGGCUGGUAAGUGGGAGGUGAAAGGCCCGGGCUCAACCCGGUGCAGUGCCUCUCAUACUGCCGGUCUUGAGGGCGGUAGGGAGAAGUGGAAUGGCUGGUGUAGCGGUGAAAUGCGUAGAUAUCAGUCGGAACACCGGUGGCGAAGGCGGCUUCUUGGGCCGUUCCUGACGCUGAGGCGCGAAAGCCAGGGGAGCGAACGGGAUUAGAUACCCCAGUAGUCC
RNAcentral lists this ribosomal RNA (429 nucleotides) under uncultured bacterium. RNAcentral's name for it is "bacterial SSU rRNA". It matches the Rfam family "Bacterial small subunit ribosomal RNA", at positions 354 to 796 of the family's 1533-position model. The record is from RNAcentral.